CUGACAUUAUCUCCCACCUUAUCAACAGUCCAUUGUUACCAAGGCAUUAACAACACUUACCAAACAAAGUCUAGAAGCCCUUUGGGCAGUCUUGCUAAGAACCAUCUUAGUCUAGACUGAUUUGGCCUUGAGGAUGACCACAUCUCCUCAGGACAGUUCUCCCUGGAGUCCUCCAUUGGCUAUUUUGGGAAAUGACGCACUUGGACAAAUGGUCUACCUAAAUGAAUGGUUCAGGUCUGAGCAGCAUGAGACACUGGCAGAUAGGAAUGCCUCCCUUAGCAGCAGGAAAUUCAGCACUUACCACGUCCCAUGCGGCAUGCUCUCCCAGAAUACUUUUAAUAUGAUAUCCCAGUGUAUUUAGCAUUUUAAAAUUACUCCAUUUGGUUAAAAUCAAUUAGAUUUUUUUGAGGAUCUUGGUCUUUCUCCAGCCCAGUUUAAACCAUAAUUUCCUGAAGACUAGGAUUAUCUCGCCAUGUUCUUUUUCACGUCCCCGUCGUUUCUAGUCAAGCCUCAAAACGUGAAGUCUGCACUGUGGGUUCAUAGCACCUCAGAGAUCAUCUCGAUUCUCCCCAUCCCACAGUGGGAAAUUGACCUCAGUGAACGUGGAGUAGAGUGUUUAGUAUCAGCCUUAAAAUAAGUGUUUUCUUUUUUAUUGUCUUUUCUUCCUGUCUGCUUUUCAGAGUAGAAGCAACAGUAAUUUAAACUUUUCUACUAUGUGACCUACACUCCACAGGUACCUUAUAAUAGCUGAGCCAGGGCUUAACAAAGGAAUUGGGUGUGUGUGGUAUUUGUGUGAGCAUGUGCUUGUGUGUGUGUGUGUGUGUGUGUGUGUCACAAUCUGAUUGCCGAUGUGGGAUGGGAGAUGGGAAAGAAUGUUUAGGCACUUGUGUAUUUAUAUCAAAGAGAUGGUAGGACCCACAAAAAAGAAUUCAUUUUUUGUGAUGUUAAUGUUAUAUUUUGGGGGGAGGUUUUGGGGGAGGAAGAUUUGCUUCUAAGGGGUGGACUCAUAUCUCUGUGUGGGGAGGCUCAGUUAUAACGACAACUGAAGUCUCUCCUGGCGUUGGCAUAUUUCAUUCUCGUAGGGAGAAAUGCAAUGCUCAUCCCUCCUCCCUCACACCCCCCACCACUUCCUUGGUGCCCUUCCAAGGUAGGGCCCUUGGUGCUGGCUGCUCAUUCCUCCCCCAGGGGUGGCUUUCCAAGGCCAAGAGGGCCAGAGAGGGCUGCUGCCAGAGAUGCUUCUGUUCUGGCUCCUUCUCACUCCCCUUCCUGUCUGCUGGGCCUUUUGGUGGCAGCACCUAGUCCUGACGGGGUUAGAGUACCACCCUGGAGCGGAUGGUGUGUGCACCAGCAAGCAUCCAGUCAAUUCAUGAGUUAUCCUCUGCGUGAGCUGGGCUGUGAUGUGCCGUUAUCUUCCUGCUCCCAUUGUACACUUCACACACCAGCUUUCUCUCCAGACAGUUGUUUGAUCACUAACUACUUCGAAUAUCAUGACCAUAGGCUCAUUUAUUUUUUUCUGUUUUAAAGGAUGGUGCUGGUGUGCACAGGGAGCAGCCACGUCAAUUUACACAUUUGCCAAGGUAUCCGAUUGUGAGCUGCCUAUCAAGGACAAUGAGAAUACAGUUUCCUCCAAAAAAAUCUUAGGCUGAUCUUGGAAGAAAGACCCCCUGGAUCAUCUAAAAAUAAAGUUUUCUAUUUAAAGAUGAAAAAACGGAAGCAAAACCAUUAAGUGCCUUCCCCAAGGUCUUAAAAGAAGUCACCAAGAAGGUGGUGUGGCUCAAGUCUCCUGACUCCAGUUUACUAUUUCCCACAAUAAUGUUGGAAAACCACAUUGGAACGGGAAGACUCAUUCCAAGUACUGCUGUCACACCAGCAAGCUUCAAAGGAAAACACUUGGUCCUGGAUUACUUCGCUGAGCUCAGAUAUGUUUUGCUGACACACAGAGUCUGGGCAGCAUCCAGCCCCCCGUUUACUCCCUGGUCUUUAAGUCUAGGUCAUUUCAGGACCAGGACAGUUUGGCACUGGGACGUGUUUCCCAGAAGUACUAAUAGUUCGAGAGAGGAGCAAGUGUCUUCACAUCUGCAGGUCUGGGUGCCGAACUUUCUACUGUCGAAGCCUGAGGUGAGAUGUCUGGCCGUGUUGCUAGUGCCGUCGCCCUCAAGAAGCCAAACAGGCUCUCAGAGUCUCUCAGGCCCUGCCCCGGACGUGGCCCCGCCCCAGAGCAUGCUGGGCAGGACCUCCCCAUAGAUCCCUCCCAUUGCCAAUGUAUUCCUCCAGAGGAUUCUGAGCUCUGCUUGGUGUUUCCAGCUGUGAUGAGACUCUCUCCUGGCUUUGAUGAAGCAAGCUGCCAUGUUGGAGAGGCCUACAUGACAAGGAACUGAAGGUUGCCUCCGGCCAACUCCAGCCAACAGCCAUCCAGGAAUUGAGGCUCUCAGUCCAACAGGCCUUGAGGAACUGCAUCCAGCCAGCAGCUAUAGAAGUGAGCGAAGAAGUGUGUAUUUCCCCAGUCAAGCCUUCAGCUGAGACCCCAGCCCCAGCUGCCACCUUAAUUGCAGCCUUGUGAGAGACCUUGGAGCAGAGAACCCAGAUUCUUCGGUGGGACCCACCCAGUUCCUGGACCCUGCCCUGGCCACUCCAGUGUCCACAAUCGCAAAACCCACCCAUACGCACACCUGCACUGACUGCUCACCUGUGAGAUACUCAGGAAUCAGCAACUUUUUCUAAAUGAAGGAUCUUCCCGAUGGCUGCCAUGAGCUCAUGAGCUUCAGGAGGCCCACAGCUCACGAGAGCUGCACUUUGAGCUGGGUCUCGGAGCGGUGCAAAGGUUGACGUGAACUUGGCUUUUUGCUGGGGACUUUCCUGCCCUGUGAUUUUUUUCUUGGAAUUAAUCCACUGAAAAAACUGCCUCAUUUUUUUUCUGAAGUAACUUUCAGGAGGAAACUGUUCAUUCUGUGACAGAUACGGGAAAGUGCCCUCUAAUUCUCUGUCCUCAAUAGAGUGGCUCUUCUUUCUGGCUUUAGACGUCCCAACUCCUGAAUCCUCGCUUCCACAUUCUCCUGCUCUGGAGUCCAGAGGUCUCACUGUCUUUGCAGCUGGUGGGAAAUUCCUAUCCUGGCAUUUCCAUGAGACAUGCUUAGAGGCCCAGGGUUCCCGCCAAUCCCCAUUGUCCUCCAAGUGGACUUGCAGCACCUGGGAAGCUCCCAUGUCCCCACUGGAGACGCUCUGGGACUGAGUCAGUGAGGAGUCGGAAGGCAAGCUAUCUGAAGUAAGGGAUAUGUCAGCGGGAGAGCCUUUAGGCUGGCUAUGUUCCCUGCUCUUCAAUUGAAACUUCAACUCGGUAAGGAGCUGUUUUUUAAUGUCUGAUGGCUUGCAAUCUUGGGGAACUGGUAUUUUUGGUGAGGGACAUUGACUGGUCAGGGUAGUUUCUACUUUGCUCACAUUGAUAUUUACCAUUUGGGAGCUUCCCAACUUGUUGGUUGUCCCGAUGUCACAAGAUUGUGAUGUAAGAACGCACAGCUCCUCAGCCUUGAAUAUCUCCCUGAAGUUCAUGGUGGACGUGGAAAAAUGUUUUCAAUUCUUCUCCACCAUCUUUUGGCCCUGAAUCAUGUCCUCUCUAUCACUGGAACUCACAUUCUCAUCCCUUGGCACAUGUCCAGCCCCAGCUUGCCUUGUGGGCACCUCUCGGCUGCAUCUGUUAUUGUCUAGUGCAGUCUUACUCUGACUCACUUUGUCUAUAAAGCUGUGUGUGAGGAUCUCUGAAGUCUGUCUGCCAUGCUCGAUUGACUGGAUGUCCUUGGCAAGCUCCUGGUCGCUAUCAGAGUGGGAUGGUUUUAGGGCCCCCUGUCCUUCGUUGCCCGCAGAUGAGGUAGCAGGGAGUGGAAGAUCCAGGAUGGGGACUGAAUUCGUUGUUUGCACCUUAUUUCCCUGAAAACUUUUAGAGCUUCCCUCAAGGGGCUUGGAAACCUCAAAUUCCUUUCCCUUACUUGGAGUCUUAUUUCGUUUGUCACCUAUGUCUUGACCCCCUCUUAUUACUUACAGAACAAUCAUUUUAUUCUAUUUUUCCCUUUUUCUCCUCCCUUCCAUUUUUAAAAUCAUGUUGUUUUUAGAAAACAAAAUUGGUAUUUUAUUUUUCCACCCUUGUAACCAUCUUUAUUUUACUUAGACAUCUACAACUUAAUGUAUUUCACGCUCACCAUCAUAAUGCUUUUUGAAUUUUGCCCCAGUUGACACUCAGCCAAUUUUUGAGUCCCAGUCUGUCUAAGUGGAGUUGCCUUUCCUCCAAACCCCUAUUGGAAGGGUGGGUAUGUGUGCAGUCCAUGGUGAGACCCCCAUAUAUCUGUAACCUGGUGCAUAGUCUGGGACUCACCUCUGGUUCAUGAGCUGCAGAUGUUCUGGGGGAGACCAACCAUGGCUCCACCAAGGCCG
Molecule: non-coding RNA, 4422 nt
Organism: Equus caballus (horse)
Lineage: Eukaryota; Metazoa; Chordata; Mammalia; Perissodactyla; Equidae
Source: RefSeq, a predicted model, not a curated record